UCUUCGUUGGUGCAUUGGUUAGCACAUGCAUUUGAUUAAUGCGAGAGCUGGGUUCGACUCCCAGACAAGGAC
RNAcentral lists this transfer RNA (72 nucleotides) under Laccaria bicolor S238N-H82. RNAcentral describes it as "tRNA-Ile (GAT) (tRNA-Ile-GAT-1-1)". It matches the Rfam family "tRNA". From Rfam's summary of the family: Transfer RNA (tRNA) molecules are approximately 80 nucleotides in length. Their secondary structure includes four short double-helical elements and three loops (D, anti-codon, and T loops). The record is from RNAcentral. Lineage: Eukaryota; Fungi; Basidiomycota; Agaricomycetes; Agaricales; Hydnangiaceae.